CACUUCCUACGGGACGCAGCAGUGGGGAAUAUUGCACAAUGGGGGAAACCCUGAUGCAGCAACGCCGCGUGAGUGAAGGAGUAUUUCGGUAUGUAAAGCUCUAUCAGUAGGGAAGAAGAAAGACGGUACCUGACUAAGAAGCCCCGGCUAACUACGUGCCAGCAGCCGCGGUAAUACGUAGGGGGCAAGCGUUAUCCGGAUUUACUGGGUGUAAAGGGAGCGCAGACGGCUGUGCAAGUCUGGAGUGAAAGGCGGGGGCCCAACCCCCGGACUGCUCUGGAAACUGUAAAGCUGGAGUGCAGGAG
Molecule: ribosomal RNA, 305 nt
Filed under: uncultured bacterium
Lineage: Bacteria
Description: bacterial SSU rRNA
Rfam family: Bacterial small subunit ribosomal RNA
Source: RNAcentral